AUUGAACGCUGGCGGCAGGCCUAACACAUGCAAGUCGAGCGGAAGAAGGGAGCUUGCUCCUGGAUUCAGCGGCGGACGGGUGAGUAAUGCCUAGGAAUCUGCCUGGUAGUGGGGGAUAACGUCCGGAAACGGGCGCUAAUACCGCAUACGUCCUGAGGGAGAAAGUGGGGGAUCUUCGGACCUCACGCUAUCAGAUGAGCCUAGGUCGGAUUAGCUAGUUGGUGGGGUAAAGGCCUACCAAGGCGACGAUCCGUAACUGGUCUGAGAGGAUGAUCAGUCACACUGGAACUGAGACACGGUCCAGACUACUACGGGAGGCAGCAGUGGGGAAUAUUGGACAAUGGGCGAAAGCCUGAUCCAGCCAUGCCGCGUGUGUGAAGAAGGUCUUCGGAUUGUAAAGCACUUGAAGUUGGGAGGAAGGGCAGUAAGUUAAUACCUUGCUGUUUUGACGUUACCAACAGAAUAAGCACCGGCUAACUUCGUG
This 484-nucleotide ribosomal RNA is filed under the name uncultured bacterium. RNAcentral describes it as "partial 16S ribosomal RNA". It matches the Rfam family "Bacterial small subunit ribosomal RNA", at positions 30 to 507 of the family's 1533-position model. The record is from RNAcentral.